This 275-nucleotide ribosomal RNA is filed under the name uncultured prokaryote. Its description in RNAcentral is "partial 16S ribosomal RNA". It matches the Rfam family "Bacterial small subunit ribosomal RNA", at positions 524 to 798 of the family's 1533-position model. The record is from RNAcentral.
UACGUAGGGUGCGAGCGUUGUCCGGAAUUAUUGGGCGUAAAGAGCUUGUAGGCGGUUUGUCGCGUCUGCUGUGAAAAUCCGGGGCUCAACCCCGGACUUGCAGUGGGUACGGGCAGACUAGAGUGUGGUAGGGGAGACUGGAAUUCCUGGUGUAGCGGUGAAAUGCGCAGAGAUCAGGAGGAAUACCGAAGGCGAAGGCAGUCUUCCAAGCCGUUAUUGACGCUCAACUGCGAAGGUGUGGGUAUCAAACAGGAUUAGAUACCCGUGUAGUCCCU